RNAcentral lists this ribosomal RNA (253 nucleotides) under uncultured bacterium. RNAcentral's name for it is "partial 16S ribosomal RNA". It matches the Rfam family "Bacterial small subunit ribosomal RNA", at positions 524 to 776 of the family's 1533-position model. The record is from RNAcentral.
GACAGAGGGUGCAAACGUUGUUCGGAAUUACUGGGCGUAAAGAGCGUGUAGGCGGCCGUACAGGUCAGCUGUGAAAACUCGAGGCUCAACCUCGAGACGUCGGUUGAAACCGUACGGCUAGAGUCCGGAAGAGGAGAGUGGAAUUCCCGGUGUAGCGGUGAAAUGCGCAGAUAUCGGGAAGAACACCCGUGGCGAAGGCGGCUCUCUGGGACGGUACUGACGCUGAGACGCGAAAGCGUGGGGAGCGAACAGG